GGACCCGCACAAGCGGUGGAGUAUGUGGUUUAAUUCGAUGCAACGCGAAAAACCUUACCAGGGUUUGAAAUCAUUUCAAAACUCCUUGAAAGAGGAGCCUCCUUCGGGAUGAAAUGACAGGUGGUGCAUGGCUGUCGUCAGCUCGUGUUGUGAAAUGUCGAGUUAAGUCUCGUAACGAGCGCAACCCAUGUCUCUUGUUGCUCUUUGAGUGCUUAAGAGAGACUGCCGACCAACAUCGGAGGAAGGUGUGGAUGAUGUCAAGUCAGCAUGCCCCUUACAUCCUGGGCUACACACGUACUACAAUGGUAAGGACAAUGAGCUGCAAGCCUGCGAAGGUUAGCCAAUCUCAAAAACCUUAUCUCAGUUCGGAUUGCACUCUGCAACUCGAGUGCAUGAAGGUGGAAUCGCUAGUAA
This 414-nucleotide ribosomal RNA is filed under the name uncultured bacterium. RNAcentral describes it as "bacterial SSU rRNA". It matches the Rfam family "Bacterial small subunit ribosomal RNA", at positions 917 to 1341 of the family's 1533-position model. The record is from RNAcentral.